UUUCAUUUACCAAGGAAACUUAACCAAAUAUCCGAUAGUCAAUGAGCCUCUGUGUAUUGUGCGUCCAGUCUUCUUAUCCCGGCUGAAACAUAUAAAGCAGACGGUGUUACAAUGACACAGGUGAAGAGUCAGAGGUUUCUUUAAAGCGGCGUAAAGAUGGAGGACGACCUGGUGUCGGAGGAUGAUAUCCUGCUGGUGUCGGAGAAGGAGCUCCAUGAUGCUGCAAAGAGGAACGACACCGAAAAACUUCAGGAGCUGAUCAGGAAGGGUGUGGACGUCAAGGCCAGGAAUAAAGUUGAUCGGAAAGCUCUGCACUGGGCAGCAGGAGCAGGAAACGAACAGGCUCUACGACUCCUCCUGGACCAUGACACUGAAGUGGACGAGAAAGACUCUUUUGGAAUGAAUGCUCUGCUCCUGGCCUCCUGGUUCGGUCAUUUGAAGAUCCUGCAGGUCCUGGUAUCCUGUGGAGCAAAGCUCAACUGUGAAAACAAAGACGGUCUCAGCAUGCUGCACUGUGCUGCUCAGCGAGGCCACAUCAGCGUACUGGAGUUCAUCAUGGAGGACCUGGAGGAUGUCUGUCUUGACAGAGUGGACAAGUUAGGGAAGACAGCUCUUCACCUGGCUGCUGAACACGGACAGUCUGAAGUGGUGGAGUUUCUGAUUGGAAUGGGUUGCGCUCAUGCUUUGAAGGACAAGGAAGAGAACACAGCCGUGCAUCUAGCAGCCAAGUUUGGGCACACAGACGUCCUGCAGAAGAUCAUCGAGACGGGAGUGAACGUGGAUGAGAGAAACAUAGAUGGUCUCACAGCUUUGCAUCAUGCAUCUGAUGGAGGUCACUGGGAAUGUAUCAAACUGCUGCUGGAGUCCGACUGUGAUUUCAACACACAGACUAACAAGAACAUGACUGCUCUCCAUUACGUGGCCCAGCAUGGCUUCGACAGAGAAGCCCACUUGCUGCUGGAGGCAGGGAUCAACAUAGAUGCUGUAAACAAUCAACUCAACACAGCGCUGCACCUCGCUGUGCUCGGCAAUCACACCGAGGUCGUGCGUCAGCUGAUAGAAGCCGACUGUGACCUGGACAUCACUGACAGUAGACAACAGAGCGCUCUGCACAUAGCAGCAGAACACGGCUGGCAGGACCUGGCUGAGAUGAUCCUCAUCUCUGGUGUUAACCUCACUCUGACAGACAAGCAGGGGAAAACGUGUCUGGAGGUGGCAGCAAGAGGAAACCACGUCAUCCUGGUCGACAUGAUCAUCAAAGCUGAUCGUUUUUAUAAAUGGGAGAAGGAUCAAUUGGGCAGUGGGCAGGACUCCUGGGUGGGGAGAAAUCUGAGCUUUAAGCAGGACCACCAGCCGGAGACACAGCACAUCCGCUCGGUCCUGUGGAGCCUGGCCACCAAGCACCUGUGCCGGGGGGAGUGGAAGAUUCUAGCACAACACUGGGAGUUCAGCGAUGCUCAUAUACGAGCUAUAGAACAACAAUGGACGGGUAUGAAAAGCUACAAAGAGCACGGUCACAGGAUGCUGUUGAUCUGGCUUCAUGGAGUCGUGACGGCGGGAAAGAACCCAAUCAAAGGCCUCUACGAGGGGCUGGUGGAAAUCUCACGGACAGACUUGGCAGAGAACAUCAGGCAGAAAGCGAAUGCAGAGACCAGCUCGACCAAAAUGUGCACUGCCAUGUGAUCAACACUGUGAGUGACUGUGAAGGCAACACUGUGAGUGACUGUGAAGGCAACACUGGUGCAGAGCGUCGUCAUCCUCCACCACUUUGAAUGGAAGCUGUUAACGACCGUCUCCAUGAAGGCCUCAAUCAUCUCCUGCUUUCUGAACACUGGGACACAGUAUAAAUGUAUGUUAAUUGUGUUUAUCAUAAAAAUGAUCACACUCACUGAUGCUGGUGGAACCUGUAUAUAAAUUUAACAUAUACACUAUGAGUGAAAUGAAGGAAAUCGAUAAAUGAAGCAAUAAUCUCUUUUUAUAUAUUAGAUGUACUUGAUGUAUAUGUACUCUUUUAAAAAUGUCUGGUUUCACUUCAUAACCAAGUUUGUAUCCCACUUGAUUCACAUUUUUAUGAUGAUUAUUAUGUCUUUUUAAAAUUGAUUUAAAUAUGGAACUUUCUACUCUUUUUUACACUGUUCUCAGUCUGUUUUAGUCAUCCAGAGUUGUGGACAAAUCGUGAUGUUUUUCCUGAUAGUAGCUUUAAAUGUGAUCCCUCUGUGGGCGGCAGUAGCUCAGUCUGUAGAGGCUUGGGUUGGGAACCGGAGGGUCGCCGGUUUAAGUCCCCGUGCAGACCAAAUCUGGAAAAUGGUCUGGUAGCUGGACAGGUUCCACUUCACUUCCUGAACACUGCUUAGAUGCCCUUGAGCCAGGCCAUGCACCCCCCCCCCCCCUCCCCCACCAGGCCAGGAGUGCUGGCUGUGGGCAACCCCCUCACUCGGACAUGUCUCCAUUAGUGCACGUCCAACAGAGUGUAAAAUUGAAUUUCCCCUUGCAGGAUUAAUAUAUAGGAUAUCAUCUUCAUCUUCUUCUGCUCAGAAGGCAGAGGAUCACUCAGCUGCAGCUCACACUCUGUAGACAGCUCAGACUGAAUCAUUUCACCACAGAAACACACACAGAAACUUACACUUACACUUACCAGCGUCUUCAUUAUUCUUCACGAUGUCAUAUGCUUUGACGUCAGGGUCUAAACUGUUGUUGACGAUGUUGUCUUCCCUGUCUUUGAAGGCAGCCGCACUUCAAGCUCUGCACUCUGUCUUUGUGGCCUUAAAGAAAUCGGUGUUUUGUUUCCAUCGCGUCAGAUCUUCAUUCAGUCUGGCCAUCAUUGUUUGAAUAGAGAGAGCUAAAUGAUAAACGUGAGUAAUAUGAGCAGAUCGACCUCAGUUGAUCUAAGUGGAAGGAAUGAAACAUCUCAGUUUCACGUUAUGGCUCAACGUUAACCUUCUGUCUGUAUUACAGUUUUAUAUGCAUCCUAUAGACUGAAGAUGUGAUGCAGUAGAGUGGCAAUAACUAAAAUGCACUUUGAGCCUUUUUCGAUCAGUUGUUCGACACUUGAUACAAGUAACCACUGAAGGAUGGAGAUGAAUUCUUGAAGUCUCAAAAUGAGAAACAGAAAAGCACAAAACCUUCUGCCACAGGAUGAUGUAUUUUUUUUUUAUCAGAUGUGCCUCUACUUGCUUUUUCUUCUUGAGUAGUUUACGGGAUUAUUUCACUGAUUUUUGUGUUCUUGUUUUAUGUUUUAUGUUUUAUGUUUUCACAUUUCUAAUUAAAGGUUUUUAUUUUGGGAUACUCCUUCUGUUGCCUGGUGUAAAUAAUGUUAAUGGUGUAAAUUGUAACAUCUAUUUUUGCAUGAAGUAAAACAACUAUAUACAUUCUGUUAUGGAUAGAAUCCUAAGGGAACUAGGUCACAGGUUUCCUUGCUCGUCAGAAGUUAUUGACCUGACGGCUGAUGGCGAUCAGCUCGACUGGGAGGAGAGAGAGAGGGGUUGGAAUGCGUCUUUGCUCAGUUGGUUGUGUGAAUCCAGAAAGUCAACACCAUCAGUUGGCUUUCUGUGUUUUUAUUGUUGAAUGAAGAUCUAAGUUAUGGGUGUGUGUUGAAAAUAUAUUUUUUAUUUCAGCCAUUUUGUGACUCCUCCCAUUACCCCUCUGUUCUCUGACUCCGGCUUAUCUUUUGUUUUGGGCUCCAAUUUAUGUUAGUCUAUCAUUUUGAUGGAAUUAGUGGGUGGUAUGAAGGACUAUGCUCUUCUUCCAAUUUAAUGAAACCCAAGGCACACUAAAGACCCGUUUCCACCAAGCGGUCCGGUCCGGUUCGGUACCCAUUUACUGUCGUUUCCACCGUCGAAAAAUUGGGAAUGGUACCAAAAUCAGGGAUCUGUACCGUCCUACUUUUUUGGUACUCUUCUGUUGGGGUGCCAAGGGUACAGAUCCGACCCUGAAGGGUUUACUGUGUUCCGUUCUUCUUCCUGAACGUUUAACUUAAUUAAUAGCGGGCUACACUGUGUUGAGCUUCUAUAAUGUCACACUAUUACAGACGCUGCUAUCUCCAUCUGGCUUACACUCCGCUUACUAAAUAAGGGUACGUUUGGCUGUGGAAACGCAAGAUCAGGGUUUACAGUACCAAACUGAACCAAACUGUACUGAACCAAACCGGACCGCUUGGUGGAGUGAAAAGGUGCAGUGUUCGGUUAGUUCCCCAACCUGCGACCUCUGUCGUUCAGAUUUUGUUUACUGGGGGGAAACGUAACAAUUCACAAAAAAUGACAUUUUUAAAAAUAUGUUUUGUCAAAUGUAAUGAUCUUCUAGUACUGUACUGUGAUGUAGUAUUACUGCUGGUCGUGAACACUACUGCAACAUGUGUGAUGAUCGUUACAGGCCUACAAAAACAAAUGAUUAAGAGCUGGUUUGGGCAUGUUUAGUGUUUUGUUGUCAUACAGCCAAUAAAGAUCGAUGAGCAGGGUGUAAAUAAAAACUAUGUUUGCAUGAAAAAAAAUCAUUUUUGCAUUUGCAUUUUAAGGAACUUUAUGAAUUAAAUUAUUAUUAUUAUUAUUUAUUUUUUAAAUCAAUGCUUCAAUCAAAAUUGUUCUUCAAACUUUUCUGCAGCUCAUGUUUAAAAGAUCAAUAAAAACUCCACUUUGACUACAA
This is an RNA transcript of Labrus mixtus (cuckoo wrasse), 4638 nucleotides long. It is a transcript of the gene named ankyrin repeat and death domain containing 1A, with no coding region annotated. The record is from RefSeq and is a predicted model, not a curated record. The transcript is spliced from 16 exons. Lineage: Eukaryota; Metazoa; Chordata; Actinopteri; Labriformes; Labridae.